GGGAAAUGUCCACACACUCUGCAUUGAAUUCAUGCACGCCCAGGCCCCCUUUCUACAGACAUUAAAUAUCCAGGUUCCCUUGAAGUAGCAGUAAAUAAAGCAUGGAUUUAACUAUCACCGUACAUUCAUGCAAAGUACCAUCAUGCACCACAUAGCAAUCAGGUCUUUAAAAGAGCUCAGUGUACCUAAGACAGCGCGAAAGUUCAGACACCCCUUCUUGAGAAAGACCGAGCCUUCUCUUCGCUCUAAGCUUCCAGGUCCCGAACCUCAGCCUGUUGCUGACAUAUCACGGCUGCCCAGGAUAAAAGCAAAACAUCUUGGACUGGAUUCAAAUGUCAACACCAAGCAAGUGCAGGAAUUCAGUGGAUUCCAGGUAACUUCUCUGCCCAGUCCCUUCCGCGCCUCAUCCCCAGUGUAAACACCUCGCAAAGGGAGUCCUUCGAAGCCUCCUCGGGGCCGCAUUGGCCCGCGGUGUCACUCAGAGACCCUUCCCAGAGCUCGCAGGGUGGGAGCGGCGUCGGGCGGGCCCAGAAGCGCGGGCCCCCAGCCCCGGGUAGGCACACCACCGGCUCGCCCGGCUGGAGAACUUUGUGAAGAGCCCCAAAGUGCACCCAGCUUCCACCCUCAGCCAUUUCUCUCCUUCUCCUCUCACAAAGAGCGGGGGACCGAGCGAGCCGUCGCCACCUGCCGCCAGAUCCCGGGGCGCUGCCUCUGGCACCCCCGAGGGAAGGCAGGCCAAUGGAACGAGGGCAGAGGUUCGCACUCCCACCCCCGAACCUCACAGCGCCUCGCUGCCCGGAGGAGGCUCCGCAGCCCGCGGGAACCGACGCCCCCGGGCCGGCUGCCUGCUCCCCUAAGGCGCCGGCCCCACCCCCAAUCCUUCCGGCGCCCCAGCGCCCACCCACCCGGGCGCGGGAGUGGGAGGGUGCCGCGUGGGCAGCCGGAGCAACAGGCGUGGGAGCAGCGCUCCUCGCACUUCCUGGCUCCAGAAGGCUCGGUCGCGUCCCUCUUACCUUCGGCUAAGCGAGCCCCGGGCGCCGCACCCCGCGCCCCGCGCGCGCGAGGAAGCUGCGGCCGGGAGCCGGGGGCCGCGGAGGCGCCGAGCACCCAGCAGCGCGAGGAAGCGCCCAGCAGUCGCCGCUCGCGCCGCUCCUCCUCGCCGGCGAAGUCUCGCUCGCUCCCUCCCUCGCUCGCUGCGUGA
RNAcentral lists this long non-coding RNA (1201 nucleotides) under Sus scrofa (pig). Its description in RNAcentral is "lncRNA (ENSSSCG00050021757.1)". The record is from RNAcentral. Lineage: Eukaryota; Metazoa; Chordata; Mammalia; Artiodactyla; Suidae.